This 388-nucleotide ribosomal RNA is filed under the name uncultured bacterium. RNAcentral's name for it is "bacterial SSU rRNA". It matches the Rfam family "Bacterial small subunit ribosomal RNA", at positions 30 to 416 of the family's 1533-position model. The record is from RNAcentral.
AUUGAACGCUGGCGGCAUGCCUUACACAUGCAAGUCGAACGGCAGCACGGGAGCUUGCUCCUGGUGGCGAGUGGCGAACGGGUGAGUAAAGCAUCGGAACGUAUCCGGAAGUGGGGGAUAACGUAGCGAAAGUUACGCUAAUACCGCAUAUUCUGUGAGCAGGAAAGAGGGGGAUCGCAAGACCUCUCGCUUUCGGAGCGGCCGAUGUCGGAUUAGCUAGUUGGUGGGGUAAAGGCUCACCAAGGCAACGAUCCGUAGCGGGUCUGAGAGGAUGAUCCGCCACACUGGAACUGAGACACGGUCCAGACUCCUACGGGAGGCAGCAGUGGGGAAUUUUGGACAAUGGGCGCAAGCCUGAUCCAGCCAUGCCGCGUGAGUGAAGAAGGCC